Molecule: long non-coding RNA, 873 nt
Organism: Lathyrus oleraceus (garden pea)
Lineage: Eukaryota; Viridiplantae; Streptophyta; Magnoliopsida; Fabales; Fabaceae
Exons: 5
Source: RefSeq, a predicted model, not a curated record
CCCAAUCCGUUAGGGUUUUCGAGCUAGCUAUGGAGAUCAAAAAGGGAAACCUCUUGGAAGUGUUUUUAGGUGCUCAGUUUUUGAUUGCUCUAUUGAUUGUUAAAUUCGGAAAAGGUCUUGCGCUUGGAGUUGCUGUGAGUAGGAUUCUUUUUUGAAAUGGUUUUGAGAACCAAUCAUGAAAGGCUUUCUUGUUAUCAAAACCUCAGGGAGAAGUAAAUUUAGAAGUGACCAGAGUUCCUUCAAAUCAUUCUGCAACGGUGUGCCUGUCAAAAGCAUACGUCUUUGACAACGAUACCUAUUAAGGUGCUCCUUCCAUUAUCUCAACAGCUGCACACACAGAUCAAGCAGUCCAUCACAAUGUACUAGUUUGCCUCCCGCAUUUCCUUCUUUUGAUUCCUUAGGUUGACUCAAGGAAUAGCAUCUCAAAAACUGUUGUCUGCCGCAACCACAAGUUCAUACAUGGUUUGUCAAGUUUGGAAUUCUGCACGAAAUUGCAUUGGCCGCUGGUUGAUUUUAAUAGCAGGUGCUUGGCUUGUAUCUCGAUGAGGAUGAAGCACAAUAGUCAGUUCAAGAAUUUAACCAUUUUGAAAUGACUUCGGUGGGUCUUAGUAUGACGGUAGCCGUACAUAUAUAAUCCUGUACUUCCAAACUCCUUUGCUUUGUCAAUAAGACCAGCUCUUCCAAAGAGAUGGUCCAUAUAGGAAUAGUGCUUAAUCCUUGAAUUUAUUUGCGUAGACUUCUAUCAUUUGUCUAAAUAGCAAUUGUCCUUGUGCUACAAGACCGGAAUGAAUACAAGCUAUUAAAACUACUACCAUUGUUACAUGAUCUGGUUUAAUAUUAUUAUUGAACCGAUGUACAAUUUAUUUGGCUUGU